Molecule: ribosomal RNA, 255 nt
Filed under: uncultured bacterium
Lineage: Bacteria
Description: partial 16S ribosomal RNA
Rfam family: Bacterial small subunit ribosomal RNA
Source: RNAcentral
UACAGAGGUCUCAAGCGUUGUUCGGAUUCAUUGGGCGUAAAGGGUGCGUAGGUGGCGGGGCAAGUUUGGUGUGAAAUCCCGGGGCUCAACCUCGGAACUGCACUGAAUACUGCCUUGCUUGAGCACUGGAGAGGGAACUGGAAUUUACGGUGGUAGCAGUGAAAUGCGUAGAUAUCGUAAGGAAGACCAGUGGCGAAGGCGAGUUCCUGGACAGUUGCUGACACUGAGGCACGAAGGCUAGGGGAGGCAAACGGG